GGGUGAAAAGGGUUUAGGCCUGACUCUUAAUCAGUAGGUUCAAGGUUCGAGUCCUUGAUGGCCCACCA
Molecule: transfer RNA, 68 nt
Filed under: Nitrosococcus wardiae
Lineage: Bacteria; Pseudomonadati; Pseudomonadota; Gammaproteobacteria; Chromatiales; Chromatiaceae
Description: tRNA-Ser
Source: RNAcentral